CCUACGGGAGGCAGCAGUAAGGAAUAUUGCUCAAUGGCCGAAAGGCUGAAGCAGCAACGCCGCGUGGAGGAUGAAAUACUUUUGUAUGUAAACUCCUGUAAGAGGGGAAAAAUAUGCAGUCAUUCUGCGUUGAUUGUACCCUCAGAGUAAGCCCCGGCUAACUACGUGCCAGCAGCCGCGGUAAUACGUAGGGGGCAAGCGUUGUCCGGAUUUACUGGGUGCAAAGGGUGCUCAGGUGGACUUUUAAGUCAGAGGUGAAAUCCCAAAGCUUAACUUUGGAGCUGCCUUUGAUACUGAAAGUCUUGAGUUUGAGAGAGGGCAAUGGAAUAUCUGGUGUAGCAGUGAAAUGCGUAGAUAUCAGAUAGAACACCAAUGGCGAAGGCAGUUGCCUGGCUCAAAACUGACGCUAAAGCACGAAAGUGUGGGGAGCAAACAGGAUUAGAUACCCUGGUAGUCCACACCCUAAACGAUGAAUACUAGAUGUUGGUCUUUUUUAAGAUCAGUAUCCAAGCUAACGCAUUAAGUAUUCCACCUGGGAAGUACAAUCGCAAGGUUGAAACUCAAAGGAAUUGACGGA
This 577-nucleotide ribosomal RNA is filed under the name uncultured bacterium. RNAcentral's name for it is "bacterial SSU rRNA". It matches the Rfam family "Bacterial small subunit ribosomal RNA", at positions 338 to 917 of the family's 1533-position model. The record is from RNAcentral.